AGAGCGAACGCUGGCGGCAGGCCUAACACAUGCAAGUCGAACGGACUCUUCGGAGUUAGUGGCGGACGGGUGAGUAACACGUGGGAACGUGCCUUUAGGUUCGGAAUAGCUCCUGGAAACGGGUGGUAAUGCCGAAUGUGCCCUUCGGGGGAAAGAUUUAUCGCCUUUAGAGCGGCCCGCGUCUGAUUAGCUAGUUGGUGAGGUAAAGGCUCACCAAGGCUACGAUCAGUAGCUGGUCUGAGAGGAUGACCAGCCACAGUUGGGACUGAG
This 270-nucleotide ribosomal RNA is filed under the name uncultured soil bacterium. RNAcentral's name for it is "partial 16S ribosomal RNA". It matches the Rfam family "Bacterial small subunit ribosomal RNA", at positions 26 to 323 of the family's 1533-position model. The record is from RNAcentral.